Non-coding RNA from Anolis sagrei ordinatus, 183 nucleotides. The record is from RefSeq and is a predicted model, not a curated record. NCBI's taxonomy places the organism in Eukaryota, Metazoa, Chordata, Lepidosauria, Squamata, Anolidae.
UACACUGUGUAUUUCAGACAUGUGACAAAAGGAGUGAUGAUGCCACAGAGGACAGCAUGAAAUCUUUGUUUUUUAUCUUUCUCUUCUAGCGUCCUGUCUCUGCACAGUCCCGAUCUACAAAUGCCAAACUACGUUCUCGACCUCUCUCUGCUAGUGAUGCUGAAAUGAAAAAUCUUAUGUCAU